UUCCCAACAAACCCUGCAGGCGGAGUUUAUACAAUUCAAUGUCGUUGUGGCAAAUUAAGCGUGUCUUAGUAUUUGGGACAUUGGCAAGCUGUGGACUCGUUCUUGUGAUUGGAUUAUAUUUAUUCACAAUGUCUGCCCCGACAGAGGACUGGCAGACAGCCACAUCUAUUUAUGACUUCUCUGCCAAGGAUAUUGAUGGCAACGAGGUGUCCCUCGAGAAAUACAGGGGAGAUGUUGUCAUCAUCGUCAACGUUGCCUCUAAAUGAGGGAAAACCCCAGUAAACUAUUCUCAGUUUGCGGAGAUGCACGCGAAGUACGCUGAGAAAGGUUUACGCAUCCUGGCCUUCCCUUCCAACCAGUUCGGGAGUCAGGAACCUGGCACUGAAGCUCAGAUCAAGGACUUUGCUAAGUCAUACAAUGCUGAGUUCCCAAUGUUCAGUAAGAUUGAUGUGAACGGGGAUAACGCCCACCCCCUGUGGAAGUGGCUGAAGGAGCAGCCCAAUGGGAAAGGCUUCCUGGGAAAUGGCAUCAAGUGGAAUUUCACAAAGGUAAAUAUUUCUUAUUGGUCAUCAUCAUAUAUCCCCAUCAGCAGAAAGUUGACACAGGAGUUACCCAGAUUAAUAUGCCAAGCAUUUAUCUCUGGUGAAAGCAAAGGUUGCUCAUUGCAUGCCCAUUGAGUUCAAUGUUAUAGCCUCUCUUAAUAAAAUAAAAAUGGUAGUCUUAUUAUUAUUAUUAUUGACUAUUAUCAGAUUUUGCAGUUAGAUCAUGGAAGUUUAAAGUGAUUCUCCAGAGCUUUUGUAUAAUUUCAGCCAGUAGUUUUGAAAGUAGUGCUCAUGAGCCAAAACAGGUCCCCGAAAAUUGUGCAUUACGUCAUCCAUUUCUUAUGAUAUGUUAAUUUAAAAAAAAAAUAUUACAUUACAAUAUGUUAUGAAUUUGUAAGUGUUUUUAAUCCCGGACUGAAUCUUUAAUGCAGAAUGAGUUUCAAUGUCCAUUGCUUCUUCUCUCUGUAUUUGUAGUUCCUGAUCAACAGAGAGGGCCAGGUUAUGAAGAGAUAUGGACCAAUGGAUGAUCCCAGUGUGGUGGAGAAGGAUCUUCCUAAGUACCUGUAAUUCUUCCAUGACUGACGGACUAAUGCACUGAUACUCCAUCCCCCCCCCCUCCCCGGUCAGCCAAUGGGUGUGAGUGGGUCCAUUCCCCAGACCAGUGACGGUCUGUCCACAAACCCGCCUGACGGACAGGACAGACCUGAUGAAAAUGGCGUGCAACCCCCUGGGAGGACCCCCUAUACCCAGCCAGUACACCGGAGAGGAACCCUGACCUCUACAACUGUUCCCUUUGAAUACUUAAAACGCAAUGUGCAUAAUAAAAAGUGAUCUUAGUGUCAUAUUCUAAACUACUUUGUGCUAA
RNA transcript from Oncorhynchus kisutch (coho salmon), 1407 nucleotides. It is a transcript of the gene named glutathione peroxidase 4a, with no coding region annotated. The transcript is spliced from 6 exons. NCBI's taxonomy places the organism in Eukaryota, Metazoa, Chordata, Actinopteri, Salmoniformes, Salmonidae. The record is from RefSeq and is a predicted model, not a curated record.